Molecule: ribosomal RNA, 320 nt
Filed under: uncultured Bodomorpha
Lineage: Eukaryota; Cercozoa; Glissomonadida
Description: SSU rRNA
Rfam family: Eukaryotic small subunit ribosomal RNA
Source: RNAcentral
AACCUCUGGUUGGAAGUGUUUAGCCCGCCAUGGUUUCAUGUGUGAGUGCUGAUGCACUUCUGCCAUCCUUCGAGAUACCACUCACCUCUUCAUUGAGGAUGGGAUGGAGCUCGAUCUUUUACUUUGAAAAAAUUAGAGUGUUUCAAGCAGGCGUGUGCUAUGAAUACAUUAGCAUGGAAUAAUAAUUUAGGACUUCGGUUCUAUUUUGUUGGUUUCUAGAGCUGAAGUAAUGAUUGAUAGGGAUAGUUGGGGGUGCUAGUAUUCAGUGGCCAGAGGUGAAAUUCUCGGAUUCCCUGAAGACUAACUUAUGCGAAAGCAUU